Molecule: long non-coding RNA, 447 nt
Organism: Carcharodon carcharias (great white shark)
Lineage: Eukaryota; Metazoa; Chordata; Chondrichthyes; Lamniformes; Lamnidae
Exons: 2
Source: RefSeq, a predicted model, not a curated record
CAAUUAGGGAUGGGCAAUAAAUGCUGGGCCCAGCCAUUCCAGGGAUUGACCAGCGACGUGUGAAUAAUUUUCAAACAGCCCUGCCUGUCCUCCGUGAACGAAUCCCAUUCUCUCUCCCUGUCUCCAGUCAGGCAAGGUCAGUGCUGAUAACACAGUCGGUAGAUUUCUCAUCGAUUUGGUGAACAAGGUCCCAAAGAUCUCAGCCCAGGAUUUUGAAGCCAUGCUGAAUAGUAACAUCAACGACUUACUGAUGGUGACUUACCUCUCGAACCUCACGCAGGCUCAGAUUGCUCUGAACGAGAAGCUCGUCGCUUUAUAGCUCUCCUGGAGGGAGCGAUGAGCCUCGGGCUGAGGAGGGAUGAGCUGUCCGGGGAAGAAAGUCUUGGUGUGUUGAUCAAUAAAUCCCCCGCCAACCCCGUCGCAAAAAUAAAGUUUCACUGUUGAGUA